RNAcentral lists this ribosomal RNA (497 nucleotides) under uncultured bacterium. Its description in RNAcentral is "partial 16S ribosomal RNA". It matches the Rfam family "Bacterial small subunit ribosomal RNA", at positions 28 to 507 of the family's 1533-position model. The record is from RNAcentral.
GAUGAACGCUGGCGGCGUGCCUAAUACAUGCAAGUCGAGCGAACAGACGAGGAGCUUGCUCCUCUGACGUUAGCGGCGGACGGGUGAGUAACACGUGGAUAACCUACCUAUAAGACUGGGAUAACUUCGGGAAACCGGAGCUAAUACCGGAUAAUAUCUUGAACCGCAUGGUUCAAUAGUGAAAGACGGUUUUGCUGUCACUUAUAGAUGGAUCCGCGCCGCAUUAGCUAGUUGGUAAGGUAACGGCUUACCAAGGCAGCGAUGCGUAACCGACCUGAUAGGGUGAUCGGCCACACGGGAACUGAGACACGGUCCAGACUCCUACGAGAGGCAGCAGUAGGGAAUCUUCCGCAAUGGGCGAAAGCCUGACGGAGCAACGCCGCGUGAGUGAUGAAGGUCUUCGGAUCGUAAAACUCUGUUAUUAGGGAAGAACAAAUGUGUAAGUAACUAUGCACGUCUUGACGGUACCUAAUCAGAAAGCCACGGCUAACUACGUG